RNAcentral lists this ribosomal RNA (501 nucleotides) under uncultured bacterium. Its description in RNAcentral is "bacterial SSU rRNA". It matches the Rfam family "Bacterial small subunit ribosomal RNA", at positions 16 to 507 of the family's 1533-position model. The record is from RNAcentral.
AUCAUGGCUCAGGAUGAACGCUAGCGGCAGGCUUAACACAUGCAAGUCGAGGGGCAGCAUAAACAUUGCUUGCAAUGUUUGACGGCGACCGGCGCACGGGUGCGUAACGCGUAUGUAACCUACCUUUAACAGGGGGAUAACACUGAGAAAUUGGUACUAAUACCCCAUAAUACUUUAGAGGGCAUCCUCUGAGGUUGAAAGUUCCGGCGGUUAAAGAUGGACAUGCGUUGUAUUAGCUAGAUGGUGAGGUAACGGCUCACCAUGGCGACGAUACAUAGGGGGACUGAGAGGUUAACCCCCCACACUGGUACUGAGACACGGACCAGACUCCUACGGGAGGCAGCAGUGAGGAAUAUUGGUCAAUGGACGCAAGUCUGAACCAGCCAUGCCGCGUGCAGGAUGACGGCUCUAUGAGUUGUAAACUGCUUUUGUACAAGGGUAAACCCCGGUACGUGUACCGGGCUGAAAGUACUGUACGAAUAAGGAUCGGCUAACUCCGUG